RNAcentral lists this transfer RNA (75 nucleotides) under Caudoviricetes sp. RNAcentral's name for it is "tRNA-Cys". It matches the Rfam family "tRNA". Rfam says of the family: Transfer RNA (tRNA) molecules are approximately 80 nucleotides in length. Lineage: Duplodnaviria; Heunggongvirae; Uroviricota; Caudoviricetes. The record is from RNAcentral.
GGUUGAAUGGCGAAGUGAUUAACGCAACGGUCUGCAAAACCGUUAUUCGUGGGUUUGAAUCCCACUUCAACCUCA